Molecule: transfer RNA, 71 nt
Filed under: Caudoviricetes sp.
Lineage: Duplodnaviria; Heunggongvirae; Uroviricota; Caudoviricetes
Description: tRNA-Gln
Rfam family: tRNA
About the family: Transfer RNA (tRNA) molecules are approximately 80 nucleotides in length. Their secondary structure includes four short double-helical elements and three loops (D, anti-codon, and T loops). Further hydrogen bonds mediate the characteristic L-shaped molecular structure. tRNAs have two regions of fundamental functional importance: the anti-codon, which is responsible for specific mRNA codon recognition, and the 3' end, to which the tRNAs corresponding amino acid is attached (by aminoacyl-tRNA synthetases). tRNAs cope with the degeneracy of the genetic code in two manners: having more than one tRNA (with a specific anti-codon) for a particular amino acid; and 'wobble' base-pairing, i.e. permitting non-standard base-pairing at the 3rd anti-codon position.
Source: RNAcentral
AGGGGGUUCGCCAAGAGGUAAGGCACAGGAAUUUGACUCCUGCAUCGAUGGUUCGAUUCCAUCACUCCCUG